CUAAAACGACUCUUGGCAACGGAUAUCUCGGCUCUCGCAUCGAUGAAGAACGUAGCGAAAUGCGAUACUUGGUGUGAAUUGCAGAAUCCCGUGAACCAUCGAGUCUUUGAACGCAAGUUGCGCCCCAAGCCUUCUGGCCGAGGGCACGUCUGCCUGGGUGUCACA
This 165-nucleotide ribosomal RNA is filed under the name Descurainia pinnata. RNAcentral's name for it is "5.8S ribosomal RNA". It matches the Rfam family "5.8S ribosomal RNA". Rfam says of the family: 5.8S ribosomal RNA (5.8S rRNA) is a component of the large subunit of the eukaryotic ribosome. It is transcribed by RNA polymerase I as part of the 45S precursor that also contains 18S and 28S rRNA. Lineage: Eukaryota; Viridiplantae; Streptophyta; Magnoliopsida; Brassicales; Brassicaceae. The record is from RNAcentral.